This 225-nucleotide ribosomal RNA is filed under the name Triticum aestivum (bread wheat). Its description in RNAcentral is "partial small subunit ribosomal RNA". The record is from RNAcentral. Lineage: Eukaryota; Viridiplantae; Streptophyta; Magnoliopsida; Poales; Poaceae.
AUGGACGCGGCUCACUGCGAGGGAGGUCGUGGACGUGCUUGGAACCGCGGGGAGGCAUCGGUGGUGGAGAUCGACGGUGAUGGCGCCGUGGCCGUGGUGGGGAAGACGACUGGAUGGCGAGGUUGUGGAGGGCUUCAGCUCGAACUGGAGGUUGUAGGCGAUGUACAUGUCGGCGAUGAAGCUCCUGGUCAUCAUCCCAAAAGCCGGGGAGCAUGGUGUCCAUGA